This 344-nucleotide RNase P RNA is filed under the name Gammaproteobacteria bacterium. RNAcentral's name for it is "RNase P RNA component class A". It matches the Rfam family "Bacterial RNase P class A". From Rfam's summary of the family: Ribonuclease P (RNase P) is a ubiquitous endoribonuclease, found in archaea, bacteria and eukarya as well as chloroplasts and mitochondria. Its best characterised activity is the generation of mature 5'-ends of tRNAs by cleaving the 5'-leader elements of precursor-tRNAs. The record is from RNAcentral. Lineage: Bacteria; Pseudomonadati; Pseudomonadota; Gammaproteobacteria.
GGAGUCGGCCCGAUAAUCGCUGGAAAAUGUUCGCAUUUUCUGGAGGAAAGUCCGGGCUCCAUAGGGCAGGGUGCCAGGUAACGCCUGGGCGGCGCGAGUCGACGGAAAGUGCCACAGAAAAUAUACCGCCAGCUUGCUGGUAAGGGUGAAAUGGUGCGGUAAGAGCGCACCGCGCUGCUGGCAACAGCAGUGGCAGGGUAAACCCCACUCGGAGCAAGACCAAAUAGGGGAACAUUGGUGCGGCCCGCAUUGUUCCCGGGUAGGUCGCUUGAGGUGUGUGGCGACACACAUCCCAGAUGAAUGAUUAUCCACGACAGAACCCGGCUUACAGGCCGACUCCUUCC